This 441-nucleotide ribosomal RNA is filed under the name uncultured bacterium. RNAcentral's name for it is "partial 16S ribosomal RNA". It matches the Rfam family "Bacterial small subunit ribosomal RNA", at positions 338 to 795 of the family's 1533-position model. The record is from RNAcentral.
CCUACGGGAGGCAGCAGUGGGGAAUAUUGCACAAUGGGGGGAACCCUGAUGCAGCGACGCCGCGUGAGCGAGGAAGUAUUUCGGUAUGUUAAGCUCUAUCAGCAGGGACGAAAAAAGACGGUACCUGACUAAGGAGCCCCGGCCAACUACGUGCCAGCAGCCGCGGUAAUACGUAGGGGGCAAGCGUUAUCCGGAUUUACUGGGUGUAAAGGGAGCGUAGACGGCAAGGCAAGCCAGCAGUGAAAGGGUAGGGCUCAACCCUGUACAUGCUUUUGGAACUGUGGUGCUAGAGUGCAGGAGAGGUAAGUGGAAUUCGUGGUGUAGCGGUGAAAUGCGUAGAUAUUAGGAGGAACGCCAGUGGCGAAGGCGGCUUACUGGACUGUAACUGACGUUGAGGCUCGAAAGCGUGGGGAGCGAACAGGAUUAGAUACCCCUGUAGUC